Molecule: transfer RNA, 74 nt
Filed under: Malacoplasma iowae
Lineage: Bacteria; Bacillati; Mycoplasmatota; Mycoplasmoidales; Mycoplasmoidaceae
Also listed under: 1 other name
Description: tRNA-Cys
Rfam family: tRNA
About the family: Transfer RNA (tRNA) molecules are approximately 80 nucleotides in length. Their secondary structure includes four short double-helical elements and three loops (D, anti-codon, and T loops).
Source: RNAcentral
GGUGCCUUAGCCAAGUGGUAAGGCAAGGAGCUGCAACCUCCUCAGCGUCAGUUCGAUCCUGACAGGCACCUCCA